UGGGGAAUAUUGCACAAUGGGGGAAACCCUGAUGCAGCGACGCCGCGUGAGCGAAGAAGUAUCUCGGUACGUAAAGCUCUAUCAGCAGGGAAGAAAAUGACGGUACCUGACUAAGAAGCCCCGGCUAACUACGUGCCAGCAGCCGCGGUAAUACGUAGGGGGCAAGCGUUAUCCGGAUUUACUGGGUGUAAAGGGAGCGUAGACGGCAGCGCAAGUCUGGAGUGAAAUGCCGGGGCCCAACCCCGGAACUGCUUUGGAAACUGUGCAGCUCGAGUGCAGGAGAGGUAAGCGGAAUUCCUAGUGUAGCGGUGAAAUGCGUAGAUAUUAGGAGGAACACCAGUGGCGAAGGCGGCUUACUGGACUGUAACUGACGUUGAGGCUCGAAAGCGUGGGGAGCAAACAGG
Molecule: ribosomal RNA, 404 nt
Filed under: uncultured bacterium
Lineage: Bacteria
Description: bacterial SSU rRNA
Rfam family: Bacterial small subunit ribosomal RNA
Source: RNAcentral